UCCCUGGCAGUCCAGUGGUUAAGACUCCAGGCUUUUACCACCUGGAGCGAGGGUUCAAACCCUUGUCAGGGAA
Bos taurus (domestic cattle) is the source of this 73-nucleotide non-coding RNA. The record is from Rfam. NCBI's taxonomy places the organism in Eukaryota, Metazoa, Chordata, Mammalia, Artiodactyla, Bovidae.